RNAcentral lists this ribosomal RNA (292 nucleotides) under uncultured bacterium. RNAcentral's name for it is "partial 16S ribosomal RNA". It matches the Rfam family "Bacterial small subunit ribosomal RNA", at positions 505 to 796 of the family's 1533-position model. The record is from RNAcentral.
GUGUCAGCAGCCGCGGUAAUACGUAGGGGGCGAGCGUUGUCCGAAGUUACUGGGCGUAAAGCGCGCGUAGGCGGGCUGUUAAGUUGGAUGUGAAAUCUCCGGGCUCAACCCGGAAACCGCAUCCAAAACUGGCUGCCUUGAGGUAUGGAGAGGGAAGUGGAAUUCCUGGUGUAGCGGUGAAAUGCGUAGAUAUCAGGAGGAACACCCGUGGCGAAGGCGGCUUCCUGGCCAUAUCCUGACGCUGAGGUGCGAAAGCUAGGGGAGCGAACGGGAUUAGAAACCCGUGUAGUCC